GAGUACGCUGAUUGGCUGAGGCAACGAAUCGAGCACCGUGAUUGGCUCAGGCCUGGAAAAGAGCGUUUGGGGAUCCUCAAUGUACAGGCCGCAGUAGUGCUACCGUUGGAAAAUUAACGAUAAUAAAUCACGACAGAUUCGCGGGGAUCCGAAACUCUUCAGCGCUCCGAAGGCAGUCGCGGAGCAGACACUCUCCUCCCAGAUGCCAGAGUCACAGAUUUGCUUCAUGUUUGUGAUGCUUUCACGUGACGGGAACUACUGUCAGAUGUGAAGUAUUGUGGAGCAGUCACAGAU
Long non-coding RNA from Sinocyclocheilus rhinocerous, 294 nucleotides. RefSeq lists it as uncharacterized. NCBI's taxonomy places the organism in Eukaryota, Metazoa, Chordata, Actinopteri, Cypriniformes, Cyprinidae. The record is from RefSeq and is a predicted model, not a curated record. The transcript is spliced from 3 exons.